GACGAACGCUGGCGGCGUGCUUAACACAUGCAAGUCGAACGCUGAACCCGCUUCGGUGGGGGUUGAGUGGCGAACGGGUGCGUAACACUAACGCAACCUUCCCCCGGCUCUGGGAUAACUCCAAGAACUUGGGGCUAAUGCUGGAUGUGACCGCUGGCCUCAUGGUCUGGUGGUGGAAAUGGUUUCCGGCUUGGGAUGGGCUCGCGGAUAAUCAGCUUGUUGGUUGGGUAGUGGCCUACCAAGCGGACGACGGGUAGGCGGCAUGAGAGGGUGACCGGCCACACGGGGACUGCGGGAGGGACCAGACGGGUACGGGCGGCAGUAGGCGGGAACCUGACGCAGUGAGGGGAAGCGUGAGACAGAGACGUUGGGUGGGGAAUAACGUGUUACGGGUGGAAAACAUAUUUCAGCGGGGACGAAGCGAACGUGACGGUACCUGAAGAAGAAGCCACGGCUAACUACGUG
This 465-nucleotide ribosomal RNA is filed under the name uncultured bacterium. RNAcentral describes it as "partial 16S ribosomal RNA". It matches the Rfam family "Bacterial small subunit ribosomal RNA", at positions 28 to 507 of the family's 1533-position model. The record is from RNAcentral.